GAUGAACGCUGGCGGCGUGCCUAAUACAUGCAAGUCGAGCGAACAGACGAGGAGCUUGCUCCUCUGACGUUAGCGGCGGACGGGUGAGUAACACGUGGAUAACCUACCUAUAAGACUGGGAUAACUUCGGGAAACCGGAGCUAAUACCGGAUAAUAUAUUGAACCGCAUGGUUCAAUAGUGAAAGACGGUUUUGCUGUCACUUAUAGAUGGCUCCGGGCCGCAUUAGCUAGUUGGUAAGGUAACGGCUUACCAAGGCAACGAUGCGUAGCCGACCUGAGAGGGUGAUCGGCCACACUGGAACUGAGACACGGUCCAGACUCCUACGGGAGGCAGCAGUAGGGAAUCUUCCGCAAUGGGCGAAAGCUUGACGGAGCAACGCCGCGUGAGUGAUGAAGGUCUUCGGAUCGUAAAACUCUGUUAUUAGGGAAGAACAAAUGUGUAAGUAACUAUGCACGUCUUGACGGUACCGAAGCAGAAAGCCACGGCUAACUACGU
This 496-nucleotide ribosomal RNA is filed under the name uncultured bacterium. Its description in RNAcentral is "partial 16S ribosomal RNA". It matches the Rfam family "Bacterial small subunit ribosomal RNA", at positions 28 to 506 of the family's 1533-position model. The record is from RNAcentral.